GUGUUCGCCAAAAGGAGACAGGCGGCAUCUGUCCUGACAGGGACGGGAACAGCCUUUAAGGCUUACCAAUUAACACACAUGGUUAAGGCUAACCCCUUCGGUGGAUAGAUGAGCUAAUGAUAUGG
Molecule: small nuclear RNA, 125 nt
Organism: Telopea speciosissima
Lineage: Eukaryota; Viridiplantae; Streptophyta; Magnoliopsida; Proteales; Proteaceae
Source: RefSeq, a predicted model, not a curated record